This is a long non-coding RNA of Oncorhynchus gorbuscha (pink salmon), 1328 nucleotides long. RefSeq lists it as uncharacterized. The transcript has 2 exons. The record is from RefSeq and is a predicted model, not a curated record. NCBI's taxonomy places the organism in Eukaryota, Metazoa, Chordata, Actinopteri, Salmoniformes, Salmonidae.
GAGGCUAGAUCUGAAACAUCGCUCCCCGAGUGACAGGGUGCGAGGCUAAGUCUGAAACAUCGCUCCCCGAGUGACAGGGGACGGGGCUAGAUCUGAAACAUCGCUCCCCGAGUGACAGGGGACGGGGCUAGAUCUGAAACAUCGCUCCCCGAGUGACAGGGGACGGGGCUAGAUCUGAAACAUCGCUCCCCGAGUGACAGGGGACGGGGCUAGAUCUGAAACAUCGCUCCCCGAGUGACAGGGGGCGGGGCUAGAUCUGAAACAUCGCUCCCCGAGUGACAGGGUGCGAGGCUAGAUCUGAAACAUCGCUCCCCGAGUGACAGGGGACGGGGCUAGAUCUGAAACAUCGCUCCCCGAGUGACAGGGGACGGGGCUAGAUCUGAAACAUCGCUCCCCGAGUGACAGGGGGCGGGGCUAGAUCUGAAACAUCGCUCCCCGAGUGACAGGGGCGGGGCUAGAUCUGAAACAUCGCUCCCCGAGUGACAGGGGGCGGGGCUAGAUCUGAAACAUCGCUCCCCCCGAGAGACAGGGGGCAGGGCUAGAUCUGAAACAUCGCUCCCCGAGUGACAGGGGGCGGGGCUAGAUCUGAAACAUCCCUCCCCGAGUGACAGGGGGCGGGGCUAGAUCUGAAACAUCCCUCCCCGAGUGACAGGGGGCGGGGCUAGAUCUGAAACAUCGCUCCCCGAGUGACAGGGGGCGGGGCUAGAUCUGAAACAUCGCUCCCCGAGUGACAGGGGGCGGGGCUAGAUCUGAAACAUCGCUCCCCGAGUGACAGGGGGCGGGGCUAGAUCUGAAACAUCGCUCCCCGAGUGACAGGGGGCGGGGCUAGAUCUGAAACAUCGCUCCCCGAGUGACAGGGGGCGGGGCUAGAUCUGAAACAUCGCUCCCCGAGUGACAGGGGGCGGGGCUAGAUCUGUGUGGAAAGCGGCAUGGAGAGGAGAGAGAUGACUCAAGUAGCAGAGUAAACUAUAAAAACGGAUGUUAUACAUAGCGUGUAAUUUAACAAACCUAACAUUGAAAUACCUUUUUAUAGAAGGUGAAGUAAAAACCCAAACUGGUCCAUGCAUCAAUACCGGUGUAUAGUCAAAUAUGGUAUAUCGUCCAGCCCUAGUACUGAAUACUGUGUAAUAUAUACUCUUUACUGGAGAAGCAUGAACCAUUGUGGAAAUGAAAUGUGGAUGAGAUGAAUGACUUCUUGUUGAUGUUGUUGUUGUUGUUGACAACCACAGAAUACACCACCCUCCGAGAAUCUCCACACCGAAUAUUCCUGGGAAACAUCUUCACAACACUGUCCUGUCAAUCAUCUCCACAACACUGUCCUGUCUAAA